RNAcentral lists this ribosomal RNA (276 nucleotides) under uncultured prokaryote. RNAcentral's name for it is "partial 16S ribosomal RNA". It matches the Rfam family "Archaeal small subunit ribosomal RNA", at positions 474 to 749 of the family's 1478-position model. The record is from RNAcentral.
UACUCGCGGUCCAAGUCGCAGCCAUCAUUAUUGGGUCUAAAACAUCCGUAGCUUGCUUAAUAAGUUUCUUGUGAAAUUCCAUGUCUCAAAUAUGGAGCGGGCAAGAAGUACUGUUAAGCUAGAGACUGGAAGACGUAAGAAGUACGUUUGGAGUAGCGGUAAAAUGUGUUAAUCCCAGACGGACUAACAACAGCGAAGGCAUCUUACGAGGACAGUUCUGACAGUAAGGGAUGAAGGCUAGGGGCGCAAAAGGGAUUAGAUACCCGGGUAGUCCCU